CAGCAGCCGCGGUAAUACAGAGGAUGCAAGCGUUAUCCGGAAUGAUUGGGCGUAAAGCGUCUGUAGGUGGCUUUUCAAGUCCGCCGUCAAAUCCCAGGGCUCAACCCUGGACAGGCGGUGGAAACUACCAAGCUGGAGUACGGUAGGGGCAGAGGGAAUUUCUGGUGGAGCGGUGAAAUGCGUUGAGAUCGGAAAGAACACCAACGGUGAAAGCACUCUGCUGGGCCGGCACUGACACUGAGAGACGAAAGCUAGGGGAGCAAAUGGGAUUAGAUACCCCGGUAGUCCCUGUCUCUUAUAA
RNAcentral lists this ribosomal RNA (301 nucleotides) under uncultured bacterium. RNAcentral's name for it is "partial 16S ribosomal RNA". It matches the Rfam family "Bacterial small subunit ribosomal RNA", at positions 509 to 809 of the family's 1533-position model. The record is from RNAcentral.